RNAcentral lists this ribosomal RNA (373 nucleotides) under uncultured organism. Its description in RNAcentral is "partial 16S ribosomal RNA". It matches the Rfam family "Bacterial small subunit ribosomal RNA", at positions 526 to 896 of the family's 1533-position model. The record is from RNAcentral.
AGAGGGGUGCGAGCGUUAAUCGGACUUACUGGGCGUAAAGGGCGCGUAGGUGGUUAUUUAAGUUAGAUGUGAAAUCCUUGGGGCUUAACCUGAGAACUGCAUUUAAUACUGGAUGACUAGAGUACGGUAGAGGGAAGUGGAAUUUCCGGUGUAGCGGUGAAAUGCGUAGAUAUCGGAAGGAACACCAAUGGCGAAGGCAACUUCCUGGACUGUAACUGACACUGAGGCGCGAAAGCGUGGGGAGCAAACAGGAUUAGAGACCCUGGUAGUCCACGCUGUAAACGAUGAGAACUAGCUGUUGGGAAGCUUAGACUUCUUAGUGGCGCAGCUAACGCACUAAGUUCUCCGCCUGGGGACUACGGCCGCAAGGCUA